RNAcentral lists this long non-coding RNA (988 nucleotides) under Astyanax mexicanus (Mexican tetra). RNAcentral describes it as "lncRNA (ENSAMXG00005023394.1)". Lineage: Eukaryota; Metazoa; Chordata; Actinopteri; Characiformes; Acestrorhamphidae. The record is from RNAcentral.
CUUUUACUUCACUUGUAUUGAAUUACCAGGAAUACUCUUAUGACAAUCUGCAUUAUCAGGGCAAUUUUUCUCCUCUCUCUCUCUCUCUCUCUCUCUCUCUCUUUCUCUCUGUCUCUCACACACACACAUACUCUCUCUCUCUUUCGUUGCAGAAAGGCUGAGCUGGUUAGAAGGCAGACUGUUCUGCCGGGUGUGUGUAAAAGCCUGUGUGUGUGUGUGUCUGUGGGAAUGUGUGUAGUGUAUGAGAGGGAGGGCAGGAAUUCUAAGCGAGCUUAGAGUGUUUGGAGCACUCCUUGUCCCCGUGAGCUGGAAAUACCUUACAGCCUGGACGUUCAUCUGCCUGUGGAGGGACAGCCCACUGACAAAGCAUCCAAUGGUGGCAUGGCGAGUGUCUCAGACAGAGUGGGGUGUACUGCUGUUCGAGAUGGGCCCUCUGCUCUUAUCACUGGGCUUUUUCUAUGGAUCAUUCUCUUCGGGUUAGUGGGCGCUCAAGGGCAAGAUGCCCUGUUCCUGAUGUUCCCAGCCUGGCUCUCCACUGCCCACUGUGUUGUACUCCAGCUCUGCAACCCUGCACUGAGUAACAUUAACAGACUCAGUAUCUGUUUUCUGUAUUAGCCAUAGCUCUAUAGAUUGUGCCCAUCACAUUCUUAUAUUCAUAAAUUAGUACCUGUUACAUUACCCAUAGUUCAAAUUAAUUCUCUGUACUGUUUUUGUUCUGUUAUUUGUUUGUUGUUUGUUAUUUGUUUGUACUGAGCGGGUCAACCCGAGUAGGAUGGGUUCCUCGGACUGAGUCUUGGUUCCUCCUAAGGUUUCUUCCUCUUAAAGGGAGUUUUUCCUUGCCACUGUGUCACCAUAAAAUUGGCAUCUCUGUGGUGCUGCUCAUAAGAGGCGUGGACCUGUUUUACCUGUAAAGCGGCUUUGUGACAACCUUUGUUGUAAAAAGCGCUAUAUAAAUAAAAUUGAAUUGAAUUGAAUUGAAUAUAGAUAU